AACGCGAAGAACCUUACCAGCCCUUGACAUGUCCCGUACGAGGCCGAGAGAUCGGCUUCAUCAGUUCGGCUGGCGGGAACACAGGUGCUGCAUGGCUGUCGUCAGCUCGUGUCGUGAGAUGUUGGGUUAAGUCCCGCAACGAGCGCAACCCUCACCUUCAGUUGCCAUCGGGUUAAGCCGGGCACUCUGAAGGAACUGCCGGUGACAAGCCGGAGGAAGGCGGGGAUGACGUCAAGUCCUCAUGGCCUUUAUGGGCUGGGCUACACACGUGCUACAAUGGCGGUGACAGAGGGAGGCAAAGGGGCGACCCCGCGCCAAUCUCGAAAAGCCGUCUCAGUUCGGAUUGUUCUCUGCAACUCGAGAGCAUGAAGCUGGAAUCGCUAGUAAUCGCGGAUCAGCACGCCGCGGUGAAUACGUUCCCGGGCCUUGUA
RNAcentral lists this ribosomal RNA (431 nucleotides) under uncultured Alphaproteobacteria bacterium. Its description in RNAcentral is "bacterial SSU rRNA". It matches the Rfam family "Bacterial small subunit ribosomal RNA", at positions 958 to 1385 of the family's 1533-position model. The record is from RNAcentral. Lineage: Bacteria; Pseudomonadati; Pseudomonadota; Alphaproteobacteria.